AGAACGAACGCUGGCGGCAGGCCUCAAACAUGCAAGUCUAGGGGAUGUAGCAAUACAUCACCGGCGGACGGGUGCGUAACACGUGGGAAUAUACCUUUCGGUACGGAACAACUGCGGGAAACUGCAGCUAAUACCGUAUACGUCCUUACGGAGAAAGAUUUAUCGCCGAAGGAUUAGCCCGCGUUCGAUUAGCUAGUUGGUGAGGUAAUGGCUCACCAAGGCGACGAUCGAUAGCUGUUCUGAGAGGAAGAUCAGCCACACUGGGACUGAGACACGGCCCAGACUCCUACGGGAGGCAGCAGUUGGGAAUCUUGGACAAUGGGGGAAACCCUGAUCCAGCCAUGCCGCGUGAGUGAUGAAGGCCUUCGGGUUGUAAAGCUCUUUUACCCGGGAAGAUAUGACUGUACCGGAGAAUAAGCUCCGGCUAACUUCGUGCCAGCAGCCGC
Molecule: ribosomal RNA, 446 nt
Filed under: uncultured bacterium
Lineage: Bacteria
Description: SSU rRNA
Rfam family: Bacterial small subunit ribosomal RNA
Source: RNAcentral